GGCCUGAUGGUCUAGUAGUAUGAUUCCUUGUUAGGGUUCCACCAUUAUCGAGGAGGUCCCGGGUUCAAUUCCCGGUCAGGCCC
Pleurotus ostreatus PC15 is the source of this 83-nucleotide transfer RNA. It matches the Rfam family "tRNA". From Rfam's summary of the family: Transfer RNA (tRNA) molecules are approximately 80 nucleotides in length. Their secondary structure includes four short double-helical elements and three loops (D, anti-codon, and T loops). Further hydrogen bonds mediate the characteristic L-shaped molecular structure. tRNAs have two regions of fundamental functional importance: the anti-codon, which is responsible for specific mRNA codon recognition, and the 3' end, to which the tRNAs corresponding amino acid is attached (by aminoacyl-tRNA synthetases). tRNAs cope with the degeneracy of the genetic code in two manners: having more than one tRNA (with a specific anti-codon) for a particular amino acid; and 'wobble' base-pairing, i.e. permitting non-standard base-pairing at the 3rd anti-codon position. NCBI's taxonomy places the organism in Eukaryota, Fungi, Basidiomycota, Agaricomycetes, Agaricales, Pleurotaceae. The record is from Rfam.